CAGCAGCAGCCGCGGUAAUACGUAGGUGGCAAGCGUUGUCCGGAAUUAUUGGGCGUAAAGGGCUCGCAGGCGGUUUCUUAAGUCUGAUGUGAAAGCCCCCGGCUCAACCGGGGAGGGUCAUUGGAAACUGGGAAACUUGAGUGCAGAAGAGGAGAGUGGAAUUCCACGUGUAGCGGUGAAAUGCGUAGAGAUCGGAAAGAACACCAACGGCGAAAGCACUCUGCUGGGCCGACACUGACACUGAGAGAUGAAAGCUAGGGGAGCAAAUGGGAUUAGAUACCCCUGUAGUCCCUGUCUCUUAUAC
RNAcentral lists this ribosomal RNA (304 nucleotides) under uncultured bacterium. Its description in RNAcentral is "partial 16S ribosomal RNA". It matches the Rfam family "Bacterial small subunit ribosomal RNA", at positions 506 to 807 of the family's 1533-position model. The record is from RNAcentral.